CGUAACAAGGUCUCCGUUGGUGAACCAGCGGAGGGAUCAUUACAGAGUUGCAAAACUCCCACAAACCAUCGCGAAUCUUACCCGUACGGUUGCCUCGGCGCUGGCGGUCCUUCGGGACCCUCGGGCCUCCCGCUCGCGGGGGGCUGCCCGCCGGAGUGCCGAAACCAAACUCUUGAUAUUUUAUGUCUCUCUGAGUAAACUUUUAAAUAAGUCAAAACUUUCAACAACGGAUCUCUUGGUUCUGGCAUCGAUGAAGAACGCAGCGAAAUGCGAUAAGUAAUGUGAAUUGCAGAAUUCAGUGAAUCAUCGAAUCUUUGAACGCACAUUGCGCUCGCCAGUAUUCUGGCGAGCAUGCCUGUUCGAGCGUCAUUUCAACCAUCAAGCUCUGCUUGCGUUGGGGAUCCGCGGCUGCCCGCGGUCCCUCAAAAACAGUGGCGGGCUCGCUAGUCACACCGAGCGUAGUAACUCUACAUCGCUAUGGUCGUGCGGCGGGUUCUUGCCGUAAAACCCCCCAAUUUCUAAGGUUGACCUCGGAUCAGGUAGGAAUACCCGCUGAACUUAAGCAUAUCAA
Molecule: ribosomal RNA, 571 nt
Rfam family: 5.8S ribosomal RNA (bases 216-369)